ACACCGGCAGCUCUAGUGGUAACAAUUUUUAUUGGGCCUAAAGCGUCCGUAGCCGGUUUAAUAAGUCUCUGGUGAAAUCCUGUAGCUUAACUGUGGGAAUUGCUGGAGAUACUAUUAGACUUGAGACCGGGAGAGGUUAGAGGUACUCCCAGGGUAGAGGUGAAAUUCUGUAAUCCUGGGAGGACCGCCUGUUGCGAAGGCGUCUAACUGGAACGGUUCUGACGGUGAGGGACGAAAGUUAGGGGCGCGAACCGGAUUAGAUACCCGGGUAGUCCUAACUGUAAACGAUGCGGACUUGGUGUUGGGGUGGCUUUGAGCUGCUCCAGUGCCGAAGGGAAGCUGUUAAGUACGCCGCCUGGGAAGUACGGUCGCAAGACUGAAACUCAAAUGAAUUGACGGGG
This 401-nucleotide ribosomal RNA is filed under the name uncultured bacterium. Its description in RNAcentral is "partial 16S ribosomal RNA". It matches the Rfam family "Archaeal small subunit ribosomal RNA", at positions 473 to 873 of the family's 1478-position model. The record is from RNAcentral.